Molecule: ribosomal RNA, 504 nt
Filed under: uncultured bacterium
Lineage: Bacteria
Description: bacterial SSU rRNA
Rfam family: Bacterial small subunit ribosomal RNA
Source: RNAcentral
UGGCUCAGGAUGAACGCUAGCGACAGGCCUAACACAUGCAAGUCGAGGGGCAGCACAAGGAGCAAUCUGAGGUGGCGACCGGCGCACGGGUGAGUAACACGUAUGCAACCUGCCUGUAAGCGGGGAAUAACCCGUUGAAAGACGGACUAAUACCGCAUAACACUAAAUUACUGCAUGGUAAUUUAUUUAAACAUUUAUGGCUUACAGAUGGGCAUGCGCAUGAUUAGCUAGUUGGAGAGGUAACGGCUCCCCAAGGCAACGAUCAUUAGGGGUUCUGAGAGGAAGGUCCCCCACACUGGUACUGAGACACGGACCAGAUUCCUACGGGAGGCAGCAGUGAGGAAUAUUGGUCAAUGGACGAGAGUCUGAACCAGCCAAGUCGCGUGCAGGAAGAAUUGUCCUAUGGAUUGUAAACUGCUUUUGCAGGGGAAUAAAGUGCAUCACGUGUGAUGUUUUGUAUGUACUCUGCGAAUAAGGAUCGGCUAACUCCGUGCCAGCCGCCGC